UGACAAUGGAAGUGGUAUGAAGUAGGAAAGAGAAAAUUGUACCAGCACAAUCAGUGGGUGCAUUACUCACAGACAGCACUUGCAUGCAGAUACAGGCUAUGUGUGAAGUGCAUAAAUACCUAUUUCUUAUUACCGAAGAAUUUAUACAAGGUACCUGAAUGAUUCUCUCUGAGGCAUUUUUUUUUUUUCUUUCAAGGUUAAAAUACUGUAUGGCUUCUCUGAGGGAAAAUUAAUCUACAGUUUUCUAUAGAGUACCAUGG
RNAcentral lists this long non-coding RNA (260 nucleotides) under Anas platyrhynchos platyrhynchos (common mallard). Its description in RNAcentral is "lncRNA (ENSAPLG00000024689.1)". Lineage: Eukaryota; Metazoa; Chordata; Aves; Anseriformes; Anatidae. The record is from RNAcentral.